AUCUCAUCUCUCUUUCAUCCCUAAAUUUAUUUUAUUUGUUCCUCAUCUUUUUUUUUUCCUGUUAUGAUUCCGUGUUCCGUGUUCCAUGUUUUAUUACGAAUCUGUGUGCUUUCCUCUGUUUUAUAUUACUUAUGGGUGCCGUAUUUAUGUUAUGUAAUCUGCUUCUGUGCUUUACUAUGUGUUUGUGUGGUAUCUCGUGCCUUGAGCCGGGGGUCUAUCGGAAAUAGCCUUUCUACUUCAUCAGAGGUAGAGGUAUGGACUGCGUACAUCUUACCCCCCCCAGACCCCACUAGGUGGGAAUACACUGGGUUUGUUGUUGUUGUUGUUGUUGUUGUUGUUGUU
RNAcentral lists this long non-coding RNA (342 nucleotides) under Capsicum annuum. RNAcentral's name for it is "long non-coding RNA (CANN_LNC020389)". The record is from RNAcentral. Lineage: Eukaryota; Viridiplantae; Streptophyta; Magnoliopsida; Solanales; Solanaceae.